GUAGGGUGCGAGCGUUAAUCGGAAUUACUGGGCGUAAAGGGUGCGCAGGCGGUUGAGUAAGACAGAUGUGAAAUCCCCGAGCUUAACUCGGGAAUGGCAUAUGUGACUGCUCGACUAGAGUGUGUCAGAGGGAGGUGGAAUUCCACGUGUAGCAGUGAAAUGCGUAGAUAUGUGGAAGAACACCGAUGGCGAAGGCAGCUUCCUGGGACAUAACUGACGCUCAGGCACGAAAGCGUGGGGAGCAAACAGGAUUAGAUACCCUGGUAGUCCACGCCCUANACGAUGUUAACUAGUUGUUGGGNAGUAANAUUCUCAGUAACGCAGCCAACGCGAGANGUUNACCGCCUGGGAGU
Molecule: ribosomal RNA, 353 nt
Filed under: uncultured bacterium
Lineage: Bacteria
Description: bacterial SSU rRNA
Rfam family: Bacterial small subunit ribosomal RNA
Source: RNAcentral